This 405-nucleotide unclassified non-coding RNA is filed under the name uncultured fungus. RNAcentral's name for it is "partial contains 5.8S ribosomal RNA, internal transcribed spacer 2, and large subunit ribosomal RNA". The record is from RNAcentral. Lineage: Eukaryota; Fungi.
AACGCACAUUGCGCUCUCUGGUAUUCCGGAGAGCAUGCUUGUUUGAGUAUCAGUAAAAACCCUCAGCCUUUUGGAUGUGUUUUUUUUUGUUUUGAAAAUCCCCUAACUGUCCUUUGGGCUAAUUGGAGAUGGAAAAAAUAAAAAAACGAAUUCUGAAAAAAAGCGCUGGAUUUGAGCAAAAUUCCAUGAAUUAAAGUCUUAACGAAUGGAUGCUUGAAAUACAGGUUCGGUCUGACGAUUGGGCUAUAAGCACUUUAUAUUUUAACCCUAAGGGAGGAUAUCCUUUGCUGCCUGCCCAUCACUAGGUGGUCGUCAGUGUCGACUGAAUGCAGGAAGGUGUUGUUCUUCAAAAAAACAACCCUCAAUCUCGAUCUCAAAUCAAGUAAGACUACCCGCUGAACUUAA